GAGCCACCAGCCCUCACGAGUGAUCCAUGGCCCGCUUCACACUUAGCCCAGCUGAAGUGCUACUGCCAAUUCACUCGACCGGCUGAAUCGAAACCGUACUCUACGAGUAUCUAUACUCGAGCGCUUUAAGCCUCUACAGCGUCUCACACGAAGCCUAGCAUCAGGCAACUUAGCCUAUGCACACCUACCACACAGGCAUAACUCAUCCACCUCAACUCGAGGUACUACUAGGCCAAUAGGCCAAACUCGGCACUAACCGACCAAUUUCACGACAGUGGUUCAUCUUCGCUGUUCGAUCUACCGAAUCC
This 308-nucleotide long non-coding RNA is filed under the name Ananas comosus (pineapple). Its description in RNAcentral is "long non-coding RNA (ACOM_LNC034846)". Lineage: Eukaryota; Viridiplantae; Streptophyta; Magnoliopsida; Poales; Bromeliaceae. The record is from RNAcentral.